AUUGAACGCUGGCGGCAUGCCUAACACAUGCAAGUCGAACGGCAGCACGGCAGUAGCAAUACUGUGGGUGGCGAGUGGCGGACGGGUGAGGAAUACGUCGGAAUCUGCCCAGUCGUGGGGGAUAACGUAGCCGAAAGGUUAGCUAAUACCGCAUACGACCGAGAGGUGAAAGCGGGGGACCGCAAGGCCUCGCGCGAUUGGAUGAGCCGACGUCGGAUUAGCUAGUUGGUGGGUAAAGGCCACCAAGGCGACGAUCCGUAGCUGGUCUGAGAGGAUGAUCAGCCACACUGGAACUGAGACACGGUCCAGACUCCUACGGGAGGCAGCAGUGGGGAAUAUUGGACAAUGGGCGCAAGCCUGAUCCAGCAAUGCCGCGUGUGUGAAGAAGGCCUCGG
Molecule: ribosomal RNA, 395 nt
Filed under: uncultured bacterium
Lineage: Bacteria
Description: bacterial SSU rRNA
Rfam family: Bacterial small subunit ribosomal RNA
Source: RNAcentral